UAGUUUUCUCCUUUUCUCUUUCUCUACACACACACACCCACAAUCACAAUUUCUUUGCAUUAUAAAGUUUUGAUACGUAUACAUAUAUAUAUAAUCACAGGAGUAAAUUAAGCUUGUGAAGGACAACAAUGGAUUCAUACAAAUACCCAAAACAAGAUGCAGAAGUCUCUUGGUCGACCGGUCUCUGUGACUGCUUCAGUGACAUGCGAAGCUGUUGCAUAUCCUACUGGUUACCAUGAGUUACUUUCGGGCAGGUUUCGGAGAUUGCUGACCAGGGAAAAUCAUCAUGUUGUGUGAAUGGAACAAUCUUUGCAAUAUUGGGUGGUGUGACUCACUGCACUUGCUGCUACGCGGCUUAUUAUCGGCAUAAACUGAGGAAGAAUUACAUAAUUGAAGGCAACUGUUGUGAAGAUUGUUGUGUUCAUACCUUUUUGGGGCCCUGUGCACUCUGUCAAGAGUAUCGUGAGCUCCAACACCGUGGAUUUGACAUGACCCAAGGAUGGCAAGCAAAUGUGGAGAAGCAAAAUCGUGGGGUGGUGAUGCCUCCAACCGUAGAAGGAAGCAUGACUCGAUGAUUAAUUAAUUAUUAAUUACAUGUUAAUUAAUGUGGAAGGUUUAAUUAUGUAUCUUGUGUGUGGGAGCGUUUGUGUUUUGUUAUGAGGGUGCAUAUAGUUUUAUGUUCGAAUAAGCAUUUAUAUAUGCAUAUUUGAAUUGUAAUAUUAUUUAAUUUUAAAUAA
This is a long non-coding RNA of Tripterygium wilfordii, 737 nucleotides long. RefSeq lists it as uncharacterized. Lineage: Eukaryota; Viridiplantae; Streptophyta; Magnoliopsida; Celastrales; Celastraceae. The transcript is spliced from 4 exons. The record is from RefSeq and is a predicted model, not a curated record.